UUCUAUGAUUUAUAUUAUCAUGGAAGCCUCAUUGGUCCAUUAGUUGACUAAAAGUUCAUUAAUGCUUCUAUACCAAGAGGUCUGAGGUUCAAGACCCAGAUAAUGCGAUUUAUCAGCAUAUUUGGAGAUUAAUGGAAACAAGUGUGCAAAAAAUCUCCAACGAUGUACAAUUAUUGCCAUUCGCGAGGAUUCUCCGCAGAGACUUUCAUUAUAGGUGUGCAUCAAGAGCAUAAAGAAGAGAAGGAGGUGUUGUCUUCGUGGAUCUAAUAAGGGUCAGAAGGAAUUGCACGUGAUAGAAUCGUUUAUGUAACAGUUCUCAUAAUUUACAAA
This 330-nucleotide small RNA is filed under the name Arabidopsis thaliana (thale cress). RNAcentral describes it as "ATSL261420". The record is from RNAcentral. Lineage: Eukaryota; Viridiplantae; Streptophyta; Magnoliopsida; Brassicales; Brassicaceae.